GAGCUGAACGUGGACAGCCUCAUCACCCGCCUGCUGGAGCUGCUAUUGUUGAUGAGAAAAUCUUCUGCUGUCAUGGAGGACUGUCACCAGACCUACAGUCUAUGGAACAGAUUCGGAGAAUUAUGAGACCCACUGACGUACCUGAUACAGAUAUUGAAACCAUCUGAAAAGAAAGCUAAGUACCAGUAUGGUGGGCUGAAUUCUGGACGUCCUGUCACUCCGCCUCGAACAGCUAAUCCACCGAAGAAAAGGUGAAGACAGGAAUUCCGGAAAGAGAAACCAUCAGAUUUGUUAAGGACAUACUUCAUAAUAUAUAAGUGUGCACUGUAAAACCAUCCAGCCAUUCGACACCCUUUAUGAUGUCACACCUUUAACUUAAGGAGACGGGUAAAGGAUCUUAAAUUUUUUUCUAAUAGAAAGAUGUGCUACACUGUAUUGUAAUAAGUAUACUCUGUUAUAAUAUUCAACAAAGUUAAAUCCAAAUUCAAAAGUAUCCAUUAAAGUUCUAUCUUCUCAUAUCACAGUUUUUAAAGUUGAAAGCAUCCCAGUUAAACUAGCUGCGUUAGUUACCCAGAUGAGAGCAUGAAGAUCCAUCUGUGUAAUGUGGCUUUAGUGUUGCUUGGUUGUUUCUUUAUUUUGGGCUUGUUUUGUUUUGUUUGUUUUUG
RNAcentral lists this long non-coding RNA (665 nucleotides) under Rattus norvegicus (Norway rat). RNAcentral's name for it is "long non-coding RNA NONRATT024841". The record is from RNAcentral. Lineage: Eukaryota; Metazoa; Chordata; Mammalia; Rodentia; Muridae.